Molecule: ribosomal RNA, 376 nt
Filed under: uncultured bacterium
Lineage: Bacteria
Description: bacterial SSU rRNA
Rfam family: Bacterial small subunit ribosomal RNA
Source: RNAcentral
AUACGUAGGUGGCAAGCGUUGUCCGGAAUUAUUGGGCGUAAAGCGCGCGCAGGCGGGACUUUAAGUCUACUUUAAAAGUGCGGAGCUCAACUCCGUGAUGGGGUGGAAACUAAAGUUCUUGAGUGUCGGAGAGGAAAGUGGAAUUCCCAGUGUAGCGGUGAAAUGCGUAGAGAUUGGGAGGAACACCAGUGGCGAAGGCGUCUUUCUGGACGAUGUCUGACGCUGAGGCGCGAAAGCCAGGGGAGUGAACGGGAUUAGAUACCCCGGUAAUCCUGGCCGUAAACGAUGGGUACUAGGUGUAGGAGGUAUCGACCCCUUCUGUGCCGGAGUUAACGCAAUAAGUACCCCGCCUGGGGAGUACGGCCGCAAGGUUGAA